Molecule: ribosomal RNA, 465 nt
Filed under: Vreelandella stevensii
Lineage: Bacteria; Pseudomonadati; Pseudomonadota; Gammaproteobacteria; Oceanospirillales; Halomonadaceae
Description: partial 16S ribosomal RNA
Rfam family: Bacterial small subunit ribosomal RNA
Source: RNAcentral
CCUACGGGUGGCUGCAGUGGGGAAUAUUGGACAAUGGGGGCAACCCUGAUCCAGCCAUGCCGCGUGUGUGAAGAAGGCCCUCGGGUUGUAAAGCACUUUCAGUGAGGAAGAACGCCUGGUGGUUAAUACCCAUCAGGAAAGACAUCACUCACAGAAGAAGCACCGGCUAACUCCGUGCCAGCAGCCGCGGUAAUACGGAGGGUGCGAGCGUUAAUCGGAAUUACUGGGCGUAAAGCGCGCGUAGGUGGCUUGAUAAGCCGGUUGUGAAAGCCCCGGGCUCAACCUGGGAACGGCAUCCGGAGCUGUCAAGCUAGAGUGCAGGAGAGGAAGGUAGAAUUCCCGGUGUAGCGGUGAAAUGCGUAGAGAUCGGGAGGAAUACCAGUGGCGAAGGCGGCCUUCUGGACUGACACUGACACUGAGGUGCGAAAGCGUGGGUAGCAAACAGGAUUAGAUACCCUAGUAGUC